AUUUCAGAAGUAAAACACAAAUCAUGUUAACAGAUGAUUAAGUUUAUGUUGUAACGUUAUCUAGUAUGUCAGUAAAUAAAUUUCCUUUUAUUAGCUUUUUACUGUCUACGAUAUUAAUAAAUUAUGAUAAGUUUCAUUAAUUAAAUGAAUAUUAAAUAUUUCGCGAACCAUUUAUACAACUGCCACUUGCCAUAAAGUUAUGUUAUAAAAGCUGCCAUUUCAAAUAUGCUUUUAAGGAUAAAAGCUUUGAAAUUAAUUAGAUUAAAUAUUAAUGAGUCUUGAGAGAAAUAAUUUAGCUUACUUUAACUUAUCCCAUAAAACUCGUCUAAAAAUUAUUAUUAAAGUAUUAGUGAAUUUCAAUUAUUCUGAAGCUAUGACUAUGCAAAUUUGGGGCACUAAUAUGUGCUUCUGAAACUGCUCUGCCAUUUCUAUUUCAACUUGGCUGAAGAGUAGAAGCCAGUUUCAGUGCGAAGUUAAUUUUUUCUAAGUUUUUCUAAGUUCGAGUACCUUCUGUAUCGCACGGAGCGAACGCUCUACUCUCGUACAUUUUCUAAAAGUACAUAAAGCGUCCGAACGACGUUUUUUUGUACGGGUUUUUCUUUUUCCCGUUCCCGCUGGACACGUCUCGUCCACGCGGUGUGAACCCGGCCGUGCGGGCCCGCCAUUACGGUAGCCAAACGAGAAGUGAGGCCUUCCGACCUACCGAGAAUCUCCGAAGGAAAGUAUCCCCUUGUCCCGGUGGCUGUGUAGUCCCGCAGGCGAAGGCCAGUUGGAGACCCGUGACGCUUCCCGAGGAGAGGAGACGGCAGAGUAUCGGACCAUCAGCCACUGCCCCUUCUCGCAACUCUAAAUCGGCCAUCAACGCACGUGUGCCUAUUCCGGCGAUGCAUCUGCCGAAGAGCUCGGGUGUUCCGUCGCACUACUGAUUGGACAUCCCCUGUAGCUGGCGCCGUCCUCAUCAUCUCUCGAUGACGACACAGCCCUGCCGGUGUACCCAGCUGCCAGCAUAGAGCAUAAACCCUGAUCAGGUAUGUCGUUAAUCAUGGCCAUGUCACACACACACAACAACACUCACACUACACAAAAUGAAUAUUUGGAAAAAUGAAUACACAUAAAUGAAUUCAAUCUAAGUUUCUA
This is a long non-coding RNA of Armigeres subalbatus, 1137 nucleotides long. RefSeq lists it as uncharacterized. The record is from RefSeq and is a predicted model, not a curated record. NCBI's taxonomy places the organism in Eukaryota, Metazoa, Arthropoda, Insecta, Diptera, Culicidae. The transcript has 3 exons.